RNAcentral lists this ribosomal RNA (428 nucleotides) under uncultured bacterium. Its description in RNAcentral is "bacterial SSU rRNA". It matches the Rfam family "Bacterial small subunit ribosomal RNA", at positions 920 to 1350 of the family's 1533-position model. The record is from RNAcentral.
GACCCCGCACAAGCGGUGGAUCAUGUUGUUUAAUUCGAAGAUACGCGAAAAACCUUACCAGGUCUUGACAUCCCUUGCAAUGCUGUAGAGAUACAGUGGAGGUUAUCAAGGAGACAGGUGGUGCAUGGUUGUCGUCAGCUCGUGUCGUGAGAUGUUGGGUUAAGUCCCGCAACGAGCGCAACCCUUAUUGCUAGUUGCCAUCAUUUAGUUGGGGACUCUAGCGAGACUGCCAGUGAUAAACUGGAGGAAGGUGGGGAUGACGUCAAAUCAUCAUGCCCCUUAUGACCUGGGCUACAAACGUGAUACAAUGGCUAUUACAGAGGGCCGCAAAGCUGUGAAGUGAAGCUAAACCCUUAAAAAUAGUCUCAGUUCGGAUUGAAGUCUGCAACUCGACUUCAUGAAGCCGGAAUCGCUAGUAAUCGCAAAUC